AUCUAACCGACAAGUCCCAAACAGGACGAAAAGCGCGUUCUUGAU
RNAcentral lists this non-coding RNA (45 nucleotides) under Schistosoma curassoni. The record is from RNAcentral. Lineage: Eukaryota; Metazoa; Platyhelminthes; Trematoda; Strigeidida; Schistosomatidae.